Long non-coding RNA from Hydra vulgaris (swiftwater hydra), 2781 nucleotides. RefSeq lists it as uncharacterized. The record is from RefSeq and is a predicted model, not a curated record. NCBI's taxonomy places the organism in Eukaryota, Metazoa, Cnidaria, Hydrozoa, Anthoathecata, Hydridae.
AGACGAAAUGACUCUUGAUUUUACAUUCUUUAUUUUUAUAUUUUCUAUUUUUUGUAACAAGAUACAAUAUUGUACAAAAGUUGCAUUAACUGAGUACAAGGCCGCAGACAACUUUUUUUGAUGUUCUAGGAUUAUAUUUUACUUAAAUGUUAUUAUAAUAAUUAUUAAAAUAGAAUAUUUUAAUCAAUAGUUUAUUGCAUAAAUUAUUGAUUAAAAUAUUCUAAAGUAUCACUUAAACUGGUAAAAAAAAAAAAAACGAGGUGUAUCUCGUUUUUUAACAACAGGUAAUCAGUAAGUAUAACUUAUACAUACUGCUUACCUGCUGUUAAGUAUUAUGGCUGUAUAUUAAGUUUUCUGAAUUAUUUUUUUUAAUGAGCUGUAUAUAGGCUAUAUACUGCUAUAUUAUAGCAGUUAAAUAAUAUUCUAAAUAUGUCAAUUGUUGUGUCUUUAGAUGUACAAAUUAAACUGGAUCAAAAAAUAGUUUAAAUAAAAAGGUUUCUUUUUACAAAUUUCGAAAAGAUAUAGAAAAGAAAAAUAACAAGGUUCAUAACAUUGGGCAAGAAAAUGACAUACCUCCUUCAAAUGUCACACUUUGCUCAGACCAUUUUGAAAAAUCUUGUUUUGAUAAGACUACACAAACAAUUCAUUUGAAGCAAAAUUCUGAUCAAACAGUUUUUACAUUUCCAAAACAAUCUUCAAAGUAAAUAGAAAAAGAAAAGCACCAUCUGUAAACUUGACUUCUACUGAAAAUGAAGGUGUUGAAAGUUCAUUAAAUGAUGCGAAUAGAAACUUUCCACCAUUAAAAGUGCAAGAAAAACAAAAUUUGCAAUUUAAAAUCAAAAUUAAAAAGUGCUCAGCAAAAGCUGCCUCAAAUCUGAAGUCAUGUUUUUAAAGAAGGUUUUUUUAAUGCCUUAAAAUUAAUAACUUAAUUUUAUCUCAAUAUGAAGAAAUGCUUACAACAACAUUUUCAGAAGUACCUCUAGAAUUUAUGGAAAAAGUUUUAUUAAUAAAAAAUCCACAUUGUUUCAGAAAUUAAUUUCUUGACAAACUGCAAACUUUUGCAAUGACUUUGCAAUUUUAUUCUUCUAAAGCAUAUGAGUUUGUUCGAAAGACUUUUCAAUUGGCACUACUAUAUCAAUCUCAAAUAAGACAUUGGUACACCAAAGUACCAGUUGAACCUGGAUUUACCAUGCUGCUUUUAUUGCUCUGCAAGCUGCUGUAUGUGCCUCAAAAAAAAAAAAAGCAGAUUGUGAGGUUUUGUUUUCCCUUAUUCUUGGCAAUAAGGAAGCAGGUAAAAUAGGAUGGAAAGAAAUUUGGAGGAUUUGUUUGUCUUGGAAAUGGGAUUGAAAAUGAUGAUUCUUUAUCAUUGGCAAAAGAUGUACUUGUUCUAAGUUCUUUUUGAUGUUAGUGUAAAAGUUUUUUUACUAAUUUGUGAUGGUCCAUCAUACAACUUUGCAAUGCUUUCUGAACUUUUUCUGCAAUUUUAAAACCAAGUUUUCCAAGUAAAUAAAAAAGUGUUUGUUCUUGUUGAGUUUAUUUACAUAGUAGAUCAAUUAUAUAACAUAUUAGACUCAAGAAACCCAUUUUCCAAAGGAUACAAGUCAGUAUUGUGUGCAAGGCUUUUUGGUUUCCAUUUUUUGACAUGGCAUGUAGUUAUAUCAUAAGUCUUAAAGAUACUAAUGGUACGUAAAUGAUUUUCUCUAGUCAAAAAACUGGUUUUAUUGAUAGCAAUUAAAUUUGUUCAAGGUAUAUUUCUCAGUUGAAAAAAAAAAGUUUAACAUUAAACUAUAUAUAUUUACAUAUAAGCUCAGUCAAGACCAUCUAGAGCUCUUUUUUGGUGCUGUGAGAUCUGCAGAAUUGUUUAAGAGCAAUCCCAAUUGCCAAUAGUUCACAGCCACGGAUAAACGACUCUUGAUGCAUUAAGUACUCUUUAAGUAGCAUUCAAUGUUUAAAUGGAAACUGCAGCAUCAGUAAUAAAACUCAUAUAUUAAAUGUUUAAGACAAUUCUUUUGCUGGCUUCAACAAAAGAAUCUUGCUUACUUCAACAGAUAGCGAACUUCCAAAAGAAAUAGGCAUUCAAAAUGCAUUUUCAAGUGUUGUUUUGAGAACAAUGGAUUUCUCAAAAAUUUUCAAUGAACUAGCUCCUCAUAUGUUUGACUCAGCUAUAAGUGAUAACCAUAUAUUUUCGCUGCUUCAACUCAUUUCAGAGAACUAUGCAAUAAUACACCUUGAUCUCCUUGGAAAAGAACAAACUACCAAACUAACUGGAAAAAAGCUUUGGAAGCAAUUGACAAAACUUGGCUUAUUCGCUCACACACAUGCAUAUGUUUAGUGAUUUUGAUUUAAGUACAACUAAAUACAAAAUAAGGUACAAAUAGUUAUAUAUAAAACUCUAGAAGGAACCUCUGAGUUGUGCAUACUCACAGAACUCAGCUAAUAGUUCAUACAGCAUUUGUAAAUUUGUGAUAUCUAUUUGAAAAACUAAUUUCAUAAUAGUUUAUUUUAAAAAGAUAUUCAGCUGCUUACCAUGCAAUUGAGUUAUUAACCUUCUAGCACACAGCAUUGGUAGUUGAGAACUAAAAGGUGCAUAAAUUGUAUUAGAAACAAUAUUAAGUAAUUAAUUUUAGUAAAAGUAAAAUUAAAAGAAAUUAAAUAAAUAAAAAAAUGAUUAAAAUUAUUUUUUUUUUAUUCAAAUUUGAAAUAAUUUUUUAAAAAUUGGUAGGUAAUUGAAAAUGUGGAUAACUACUAGGCUCUUUUUUUUUUUUUACUUCUACUAAUAGG